UCAGUAUCAGCACCCAUCCUGUUCAGGGGAGUGGCUGUUUUGGUUCAGUUGCCCUGUGUGUCAUGUGUCUGAGAGUCAGCAAGGUGGCACCUCUGGAGAUGCUGCUUAAAACUGCCACCCAGCUCAAGGCCAGUUCUUCUCAUGGGGCAGAGUUAGAGGCUGAUGACUACAAUAAGUGGCACCAAGAUAAAGGGACAGUCUGAAGGCGACCAUCCUGACUGCUUUAAGGCGAAGAAAUGCAGGAAUCAGAGCUGGGAGGGCCUGGCCAACGAGGGGCACCCAGGCAGUCCGCAAAGGCCAGGCUCCCGGGAGAAGCUAGCAGCGAUCCUAUUUCAGUGAAGUGCAAUUCUCUUUUCAGCAGGUAAUUUGGAGAAACAGAAAACUAUAAACAGAAGAAAAAAAUUGAGAUAAUCACUAUUAAAGCUUCCUUUUAUGCUCUCUUUUUGGAUAAAUAAAUCUAUAGAAUUAUUCCAUCUAAAGAUGGGUGCCCUCAGGAUGUGGACGUCUAAAUGAUGGGCCCAACUCUAUGCAAGAGCCACAGCAGAGCCACAAAUCCCCCACUGGUCCAUGGAUGACCAGCCUGCCUUGCCAGCAUUCCCGUGCAGAGGUUGGAAUGAGGUAACCUCUCAGAAUGCCCUUUGUAAACCAUAAAAUAUUGUAUGUCUAUGCAAGUGAUUACUAUGACUUAUAAAGCUUAGUUACAGCAAAUUUGAAAUGAAAAACUCAAAUGGCCAGGCUCUAGAAGGCUAACUGUUCAUAUUCAUUUUUCCUCAUGGGACAAUAAGGAUCUCGAACAUGCAUUGAGUUCUGCUCUGUGAUC
Molecule: non-coding RNA, 820 nt
Organism: Sus scrofa (pig)
Lineage: Eukaryota; Metazoa; Chordata; Mammalia; Artiodactyla; Suidae
Source: RefSeq, a predicted model, not a curated record